AGCAUCAAAGGAAGAAAAUAAAAAGAGAUAUGGAGAAACAGGUGACUGGGAUGAAAGAGGGCAGAUAUUGUGCUCUUGGUUUAACAGUAAAUGUGUUUCUUAUU
Molecule: long non-coding RNA, 104 nt
Organism: Melanotaenia boesemani (Boeseman's rainbowfish)
Lineage: Eukaryota; Metazoa; Chordata; Actinopteri; Atheriniformes; Melanotaeniidae
Exons: 3
Source: RefSeq, a predicted model, not a curated record